This 90-nucleotide small RNA is filed under the name Salmonella enterica subsp. enterica serovar Javiana. RNAcentral's name for it is "partial RtT sRNA". It matches the Rfam family "RtT RNA", at positions 43 to 130 of the family's 130-position model. From Rfam's summary of the family: This family represents a bacterial cis-regulatory element known as RtT RNA. The exact function of RtT is unknown although it is thought that it may be involved in changing the cellular response in relation to amino acid starvation. Lineage: Bacteria; Pseudomonadati; Pseudomonadota; Gammaproteobacteria; Enterobacterales; Enterobacteriaceae. The record is from RNAcentral.
UCGAUUCGAGCGAAAGCGAGAAAGCGUUGCCGCAGGCAACGACCCGAAGGGCGAAGCGCGCAGCGCUGAGUCAACCUUCCCCCACCACCA